RNAcentral lists this ribosomal RNA (478 nucleotides) under uncultured bacterium. Its description in RNAcentral is "partial 16S ribosomal RNA". It matches the Rfam family "Bacterial small subunit ribosomal RNA", at positions 28 to 523 of the family's 1533-position model. The record is from RNAcentral.
GACGAACGCUGGCGGCGUGCUUAACACAUGCAAGUCGAACGGUAAGGCCCUUCGGGGUACACGAGUGGCGAACGGGUGAGUAACACGUGGGUGAUCUGCCCUGCACUUCGGGAUAAGCCUGGGAAACUGGGUCUAAUACCGGAUAGGACUCCGGACUGCAUGGUCUGGGGUGGAAAGCUUUUGCGGUGUGGGAUGGGCCCGCGGCCUAUCAGCUUGUUGGUGGGGUGAUGGCCUACCAAGGCGACGACGGGUAGCCGGCCUGAGAGGGUGACCGGCCACACUGGGAGUGAGAUCCGGCCCAGACUGCUACGGGAGGCAGCAGUGGGGAAGAUUGCACAAUGGGCGCAAGCCUGAUGCAGCGACGCCGCGUGAGGGAUGACGGCCUUCGGGUUGUAAACCUCUUUCAGCAUCGACGAAGCGAAAGUGACGGUAGGUGCAGAAGAAGGACCGGCCAACUACGUGCCAGCCGCCGCCGUAA